RNAcentral lists this long non-coding RNA (379 nucleotides) under Nicotiana benthamiana. RNAcentral describes it as "long non-coding RNA (NBEN_LNC015392)". Lineage: Eukaryota; Viridiplantae; Streptophyta; Magnoliopsida; Solanales; Solanaceae. The record is from RNAcentral.
GAAUGGGACCUGAAAAUUUGUUCUUGGACAAAAUCAAAGCUGAUAAAUUUGAAGCACUAGCUAUAGUUUUCGCGAUAUCACCAGAUAGUGAAUUGUCCAUGAGCUCAAGCAGGGAAAGGUGCGGUAGGCCCCAGAACCCCGCCGGUACAUCACCAGAUAACUGAUUGUGAGCCAAUCGCUGGCUAUAGUUUUCGCAAUAUCGCCAGAUAGUGAAUUGUCCAUGAGCUCAAGCAGGGAAAGGUGUGGUAGGCCCCAGAACCCCGCCGGUACAUCACCAGAUAACUGAUUGUGAGCCAAUCUCACCCGCAGUAAGCUCCGGCAUUCACUCAAACUCGCCGGAAUUUCCCCAGUAAGUAAGUUAUCUAUCAUCAAAAGCUCC